CCGGUGACAAACCGGAAGAAGGUGGGGAUGACGUCAAGUCAGCAUGCCCCUUACGUCCUGGGCUACACACGUACUACAAUGGUAGGGACAAAGGGAAGCGAAGCUGCAAAGUGAAGCAAAUCCCAUCAAACCCUGCCUCAGUUCAGAUCGCAGGCUGCAACUCGCCUGCGUGAAGGAGGAAUCGCUAGUAAUCGCAGGUCAGCAUACUGCGGUGAAUCCGUUCCCGGGCCUUGUACACACCGCCCGUC
RNAcentral lists this ribosomal RNA (248 nucleotides) under uncultured cyanobacterium. RNAcentral's name for it is "partial 16S ribosomal RNA". It matches the Rfam family "Bacterial small subunit ribosomal RNA", at positions 1152 to 1398 of the family's 1533-position model. Lineage: Bacteria; Bacillati; Cyanobacteriota. The record is from RNAcentral.